This 435-nucleotide ribosomal RNA is filed under the name uncultured bacterium. Its description in RNAcentral is "bacterial SSU rRNA". It matches the Rfam family "Bacterial small subunit ribosomal RNA", at positions 958 to 1392 of the family's 1533-position model. The record is from RNAcentral.
AACGCGAAGAACCUUACCAAGUCUUGACAUCCCCCUGACCGGUCCGUAACGGGACCUUCUCUUCGGAGCAGGGGAGACAGGUGGUGCAUGGUUGUCGUCAGCUCGUGUCGUGAGAUGUUGGGUUAAGUCCCGCAACUAGCGCAACCCUUAUCUUUAGUAGCCAGCAUGUAGUGGUGGGCACUCUAGAGAGACUGCCAGGGAGAACCUGGAGGAAGGUGGGGAUGACGUCAAAUCAUCAUGCCCCUUAUGACUUGGGCUACACACGUGCUACAAUGGCGUAAACAAAGGGAAGCAGCCCUGUGAAGGUGAGCAAAUCCCAAAAAUAACGUCUCAGUUCGGAUUGUAGUCUGCAACUCGACUACAUGAAGCUGGAAUCGCUAGUAAUCGCGAAUCAGAAUGUCGCGGUGAAUACGUUCCCGGGUCUUGUACACACCG